GACGAACGCUGGCGGCGUGCUUAACACAUGCAAGUCGAACGAAGAGCGAUGGAAGCUUGCUUCUAUCAAUCUUAGUGGCGAACGGGUGAGUAACGCGUAAUCAACCUGCUCUUCAGAGGGGGACAACAGUUGGAAACGACUGCUAAUACCGCAUACGAUCUGACCUCGGCAUCGAGGAUAGAUGAAAGGUGGCCUCUACAUGUAAGCUAUUACUGAAGGAGGGGAUUGCGUCUGAUUGGCUAGCUGGGGGGGUAACGGCCCACCAAGGCGAGGAUCAGUAGCCGGUCGGAGAGGAUGAACGGCCACAUUGGGACGGAGACACGGCCCAGACUCCUACGGGAGGCAGCAGUGGGGAAUCUUCCGCAAUGGACGAAAGUCUGACGGAGCAACGCCGCGUGAGUGAUGACGGCCUUCGGGUUGUGAAGCUCGGUUAAUCGGGACGAAAGGCCUUUUUGCGAAUAGUGAGAAGGAUUGACGGUACCGGAAGAGAAAGCCACGGCUAACUACGUG
Molecule: ribosomal RNA, 510 nt
Filed under: uncultured bacterium
Lineage: Bacteria
Description: partial 16S ribosomal RNA
Rfam family: Bacterial small subunit ribosomal RNA
Source: RNAcentral